CCGGGCUGUAAAUUGGUCGACCGGUCUGGUCUGGCACCAUCAGUUUCACUGUUGCACUGUAGUGGGGUGAAAGAUUGAAGUACCGGAAGGGGCCCGAAGUACCUAUAAAAGCCAUGUGGCCCGACCAUGGGUUCGUGUAAUUCACUACAAUACCGUCCAGCUGGUAUAAUGGAAGACAGGACAAUUUGCUGCCGUCACUGCUGAUAGAUCGCAACAAUAAAUAACAUCCAUGCGCGGAUAUAAGUAGGUGUUUUUGUUUUUGUUUUUAUUAAGGCGAUAGGGGCAAUCUAAAUCCGUGCCUAGACUUUAAAAAAGCAGACUAUACAUCUAAAAUUUCAGUUGCUAUAUGUAGUACAGUAGCGUCAUCUUCCAUGUAUAUAUUUACCUUCGUUUGAUACCGUGCGCAUAUGGUGUCGAUUUUUAUAUUAUUAUUAUUAUUUCUUUUCUUUUUUUUACCAAAGAUCCACAGGGGUUUUUUUUCUAUCAAAUUUAGAUAACGUUAUUCUUAUCGAGUCUUACCGACCCCCCGCCACGGGCUUCGAGCCUGCGGCGCUCGCGGUGUCGGGCUUCUCCUGACACCUCGACCCCCCCUGCAAAAUUUCCUGCGCACUCCCUGGUGUUAUUAGCUUUCACGUAUUAGAAUUAAUUGAUAAUUUGCACAUAGAUGGAAUAUAAAAAUAAAACGAGGUUUUCAGAGUACUGGCGCUAUUGGUGAACAAACAACGCCGUUAUACAAUUCACACACCUGUAUCCCGAAGCCUGCUCUCUGACAGUUUAUCGUUCACACACAUUUCGGUAGAAGCCAAUUUAAAGCUCGUUUCUAAAAAUUAUUGUUUAUUUUUCGAGCAACGUUUUGUCAUAUUUUCAAAUUAUCAACGAAUAACUAUUAAAGAACAUCAAUUAAUGUUAAAUAUAUUAACAAUUAACGACAAUACAGUGGUAAUGGCAUUUGGGCGACGGCAUUUACUGUCGCCCAAAUGCUACUGGUUCCCAAAGCCCGCUGUGUGACGGAAUUUUCGUAUAAACUGUAGCCCGA
Gigantopelta aegis is the source of this 1036-nucleotide long non-coding RNA. RefSeq lists it as uncharacterized. The record is from RefSeq and is a predicted model, not a curated record. The transcript is spliced from 3 exons. NCBI's taxonomy places the organism in Eukaryota, Metazoa, Mollusca, Gastropoda, Neomphalida, Peltospiridae.